RNAcentral lists this long non-coding RNA (1110 nucleotides) under Taeniopygia guttata (zebra finch). Its description in RNAcentral is "lncRNA (ENSTGUG00000019359.1)". Lineage: Eukaryota; Metazoa; Chordata; Aves; Passeriformes; Estrildidae. The record is from RNAcentral.
AUGGGGCUGGAGCAGCUGAGCUGCCUCAGGAGGUUCUGGACAGCCCAAAUCCCGCUGGAUCCUCCUUCUCCAGCGCCAGCCCCGCGGGUGGUGCCUCCCAGCCCAUCCUGGCCGGGCCUCUGCAGCAUUCCCUGGCGCCUUCAGGGAAUCUGGGAAUCUCCUCAGGGACCUGCUCCUGCUGGACCCUUCGGCAUCGUCCUGGCGUCCCUCACAUCGCCUCCAGCGCCUUCCUCGGUCCCUGUGCCGGGAUUUUGGCAUCUUGACAUCUCUCGGUGGCUUCCCGGUGCAUUCCUCGGCAUCUUCAUCCACAUCCUGGGCAAGUUCCCUGGGAUCCCUCGGCACAUCCCCUGGGAUCUCUCGGAUCAUUUUGGGAUCCCUCAGCACAGUCUGGGAUCCGUUGGCACAUUCCCGGGUCCCUUGGCACAUUCCUGGGUCCCUCUGCCCAUUCUGGGAUCCCUCUGCUCAUUCCCUGGGAUCCCUCGGUUCAUUCCUGGAUCCCUUGGCACAUUCCCAGAUCCUUCUGCACAUUCCUGGAUCCCUCUGCCCAUUCUGGGAUCCCUCAGCCCAUUCUGGGAUCCCUCUGCUCAUUCCCUGGGAUCCCCUGGUCAUUCCCAGAUCCCUCAGCAGAUUCCCGGAUCCCUCUGCUCAUUCGCCGGGAUCCCUCUGCACAUUUUGGGAUCCCUCUGCACAUUCCCUGAUCCCUCUGCUCCUUCCCUGGGAUCCCUCGGCUCAUUCCUUAGAAUCUCCCAGUUCAUUCCUGGAUCCCUCGGCUCAUUCCCUGGGAUCCUUCGGCCGGAUCCAACCUCGGGCCGCGGUUUUAUAUUUUUUUUGGGAAUGGGAGGGGCGGAUCCCGGAUGGCGGAGGCCCCGACCCUGGUUUUUGGGAGGGAAAGAGUUAAAAUUCCAGGGGAGGGAAGGCGCUUCCAUGAAUGAAGACAAAGUUUGGCGGGGGGCCAGGAGCGGGGGGGAGGGGGAGCGGGGAGGGAGCGCCGAAAUCCCAGGAAAAAUUAACCCCCCCCCAAAAUCCAGAGCCACUUCCACACCGGGAGGUGCCAAACCGCUCGCGACUGGAAUUUUUUUUUUUUUUUUAAUUUUUUUUUUAUUAUUUUAG